GGCUUUAGAGGAGCUGCGGCUCCAAGACAAGCAUGUCAGAGCAAAUCCGUGUUCAGCCAAUGAAUAUCAGACGUGUCCUGACACGCGGAACAGAAGCCGGCGUUUCCUGGGAGGAAAAGAUGAAGGGCUGCUGAAUUAGAUAUGCAAUAAAAUGAAAGGGAAUAAUUAGGGAAUCAUCAAAAAGGGCACAAAUUGUUCAAUUCUACGACACUAAUGAAAAAGGGCUGAUUGAAGCUGAUUGUUUAGAGAAGCAUGAAAGCUGUGAGAAACAGGAAGAUGAGAGCAGAGCGGGAAAUGAAAAUGUUUGUGAUGCUCGGAGGCUGGUUGUUGAUAAUGUAUUGUGUCAGAACGCGCCACUCCACGAAGCAAAGCUGCGAUACGAGACCUGUUCAAAGCCUGCUUCCUGCCUCCUGCCUCCUGCCUCCUGCCUCCUGCCUCCUGCCUCCUGCCUCCUGCCUCCUGCUUCCUGCUUCCUGCUUCCUGCCUCCUGCCUCCUGCCUCCUGCUUCCUGCUUCCUGCUUCCUGCCUCCUGCCUCCUAAUCCUGCCUCCUGCUUCCUGCUACCUGCCUCCUGCCUCCUGCCUCCUGCUUCCUGCUUCCUGCCUCCUGCCUCCUGCCUCCUGCUUCCUGCUUCCUGCUUCCUGCCUCCUGCCUCCUGCUUCCUGCUUCCUGCUCCCUGCCUCCUGCAUCCUGCUUCCUGCCUCCUGCCUCCUGCCUCCUGCUUCCUGCUUCCUGCUUCCUGCCUCCUGCCUCCUGCUUCCUGCUUCCUGCUCCCUGCCUCCUGCCUCCUGCCUCCUGCUUCCUGCUUCCUGUCUCCUGUCUCCUGCCUCCUGCUUCCUGCCUCCUGCCUCCUGCCUCCUGCUUCCUGCCUCCAGUCUCCUGCCUCCUGCUGCCUGCUUCCUGCGUCCUGCGUCCUGCUUCCUGCCUCCUGCCUCCUGCCUCCUGCCUCCUGCAUCCUGCCUCCUGCCUCCUGCCUCCUGCUUCCUGCUACCUGCCUCCUGCCUCCUGCUUCCUGCUACCUGCCUCCUGCCUCCUGCCUCCUGCUUCCUGCCUCCUGCCUCCUGCUUUCUGCGUCCUGCGUCCUGCUUCCUGCCUCCUGCUUCCUGCUCCCUGCCUCCUGCCUCCUGCUUCCUGCUUCCUGCUUCCUGCCUCCUGCCUCCUAAUCCUGCCUCCUGCUUCCUGCUACCUGCCUCCUGCCUCCUGCCUCCUGCUUCCUGCUUCCUGCCUCCUGCCUCCUGCCUCCUGCUUCCUGCUUCCUGCUUCCUGCCUCCUGCCUCCUGCUUCCUGCUCCUGCCUCCUGCCUCCUGCUUCCUGCCUCCUGCCUCCUGCCUCCUGCUUCCUGCUUCCUGCUUCCUGCCUCCUGCCUCCUGCUUCCUGCUUCCUGCUCCCUGCCUCCUGCCUCCUGCCUCCUGCUUCCUGCUUCCUGUCUCCUGUCUCCUGCCUCCUGCUUCCUGCCUCCUGCCUCCUGCCUCCUGCUUCCUGCCUCCAGUCUCCUGCCUCCUGCUGCCUGCUUCCUGCGUCCUGCGUCCUGCUUCCUGCCUCCUGCCUCCUGCCUCCUACCUCCUGCAUCCUGCCUCCUGCCUCCUGCCUCCUGCUUCCUGCUACCUGCCUCCUGCCUCCUGCUUCCUGCUACCUGCCUCCUGCCUCCUGCCUCCUGCUUCCUGCCUCCUGCCUCCUGCUUUCUGCGUCCUGCGUCCUGCUUCCUGCCUCCUGCUUCCUGCUCCCUGCUUCCUGCUUCCUGCUUCCUGCCUCCUGCCUCCUGCUUCCUGCUUCCUGCCUCCUGCCUCCUGCCUCCUGCUUCCUGCUUCCUGUCUCCUGCCUCCUGCUGCCUGCUUCCUGCGUCCUGCGUCCUGCUUCCUGCCUCCUGCCUCCUGCCUCCUGCCUCCUACCUCCUGCAUCCUGCUUCCUGCCUCCUGCUUCCUGCUUCCUGCGUCCUGCGUCCUGCUUCCUGCCUCCUGCCUCCUGCCUCCUGCCUCCUGCUUCCUGCUACCCUGCCUCCUGCCUCCUGCUUCCUGCUACCUGCCUCCUGCCUCCUGCUUCCUGCCUCCUGCUUCCUGCUUCCUGUCUCCUGCCUCCUGCUUCCUGCUACCUGCCUCCUGCUUCCUGCUUCCUGCCUCCUGCCUCCUGCCUCCUGCUGCCUGCUUCCUGCGUCCUGCGUCCUGCUUCCUGCCUCCUGCCUCCUGCCUCCUACCUCCUGCAUCCUGCUUCCUGCCUCCUGCUUCCUGCUUCCUGCUUCCUGCUUCCUGCGUCCUGCGUCCUGCUUCCUGCCUCCUGCUUCCUGCCUCCUGCCUCCUGCUUCCUGCUACCUGCCUCCUGCCUCCUGCUUCCUGCCUCCUGCCUCCUGCUUUCUGCGUCCUGCGUCCUGCUUCCUGCCUCCUGCCUCCUGCUUCCUGUGUCCUGCGUCCUGCUUCCUGCCUCCUGCCUCCUGCUUCCUGCUUCCUGCCUUCCUGCUCCUGCCUCCUGCUUCCUGCUACCUGCCUCCAUCGUCUGUUAGUCCUUCACAGCUCAGUGACAACAGGAUGAAGACCUUAACAACGAGGUAAUGCAAGUAAUGAAACCGAAUACGCUGGAGUAAUUAUUCGCUCAGUGGAACCAACAGAUCCAAGUUCAGGCAAAAAGUCGUUCCUUCACCAGCUGCUCCUCAUUUCACACGGGCCGAGUGUCUUUAGGUAUACUCACUCAGACAGAGUUCAGCUUGUUUGACUGUGACUAUUGAUUCAUGGCAGAUUUCCCAGGAGGACAGUGUCACUAGCUUGUUAUUUAACGUUGUUAGUUUAACAGAGAGCGACAACGUGACGCCUCCCAGAGGAGAAUCCAUAUGAAGCUACAGGUCACGAGGUCUCAGACCUGCGGCUGGGUUUAUAUAUUUAUCACAUUAACACAGCAGCCUGCUGACUGACAGCUUGGUUCCCUGUGUUCACGGCCACAGUUUCACAUCAGCAGGACGCGUCUUGGCCUCCGAGGAGGUGGAGGUGUUGAGAAGGAGGUGGAGGAGCGCCGUCCACGACCCGUUCCUUCUCCUCCGAACAAGCAGGUUCGCUUCCACAGUGUCAUGACUCUGGACUUUUUGCCAUUUCCUGUCUUAUUUUGGUAUUGCCUGUUUUGUUCCGUCCGGUCUUAGUUCUAGCUUUUCUUACCUUGUCAUAUGUCAUUUUGUCACUUCCUGUCCUGCCAUUUGCAUUCAGUUCUCGCUUUUCUCCCAGCCUCAAUACUCAUCAGCUGUUGGGUUUUCCUUACGCUUGUGGUCAGAUUGUCUGAUCACCGGUAUCAACGCUCCAGCUUUCCGGUCUCGUACAUCCUUUUGUACUAGUCCUGGGUCUUGUUUUUUGACCGUGUCUUGUCUACUCUCUGUCUGUACCCGUUUGGACCUGAUUACUGGACCUUGCUUAAAGGACUGAUUACCUUUUGCCUGAUCCCUGUUUGUACCGAUGCCUGCCUUCUUUGUUGCCCGUGUACCAACUUCUGCUUGUCUGAAGGACUGUGUGCUGCCCGUUUGGGUCCUUCACCGCUCUGAUCCAUGACACAGGAGACGUUCAGGCAUCGACUCAUUAGGACGACG
This 3558-nucleotide long non-coding RNA is filed under the name Betta splendens (Siamese fighting fish). RNAcentral describes it as "lncRNA (ENSBSLG00000018886.1)". Lineage: Eukaryota; Metazoa; Chordata; Actinopteri; Anabantiformes; Osphronemidae. The record is from RNAcentral.